UAGGGAAUCUUCGGCAAUGGGGGCAACCCUGACCGAGCAACGCCGCGUGAGUGAAGAAGGUUUUCGGAUCGUAAAGCUCUGUUGUAAGAGAAGAACGUGUGUGAGAGUGGAAAGUUCACACAGUGACGGUAACUUACCAGAAAGGGACGGCUAACUACGUUCCAGCAGCCGCGGUAAUACGUAGGUCCCGAGCGUUGUCCGGAUUUAUUGGGCGUAAAGCGAGCGCAGGCGGUUUAAUAAGUCUGAAGUUAAAGGCAGUGGCUUAACCAUUGUUCGCUUUGGAAACUGUUAAACUUGAGUGCAGAAGGGGAGAGUGGAAUUCCAGGUGUAGCGGUGAAAUGCGUAGAUAUAUGGAGGAACACCGGUGGCGAAAGCGGCUCUCUGGUCUGUGACUGACGCUGAGGCUCGAAAGCGUGGGGAGCAAACAGG
This 429-nucleotide ribosomal RNA is filed under the name bacterium. RNAcentral describes it as "partial 16S ribosomal RNA". It matches the Rfam family "Bacterial small subunit ribosomal RNA", at positions 355 to 776 of the family's 1533-position model. The record is from RNAcentral.